GAUGAACGCUGGCGGCGUGCUUAACACAUGCAAGUCGAACGGAAAGGCCCAAGCUUGCUUGGGUACUCGAGUGGCGAACGGGUGAGUAACACGUGGGUGAUCUGCCCUGCACUUCGGGAUAAGCCUGGGAAACUGGGUCUAAUACCGGAUAGGACCACAUUUUGGAUGGUGUGGUGGAAAGUUUUUCGGUGUGGGAUGAGCUCGCGGCCUAUCAGCUUGUUGGUGGGGUAAUGGCCUACCAAGGCGUCGACGGGUAGCCGGCCUGAGAGGGUGUACGGCCACAUUGGGGCUGAGAUACGGCCCAGACUCCUACGGGAGGCAGCAGUGGGGAAUAUUGCACAAUGGGCGCAAGCCUGAUGCAGCGACGCCGCGUGGGGGAUGACGGCCUUCGGGUUGUAAACUCCUUUCGCUAGGGACGAAGCGUUUUUGUGACGGUACCUGGAGAAGAAGCACCGGCUAACUACGUG
Molecule: ribosomal RNA, 467 nt
Filed under: uncultured bacterium
Lineage: Bacteria
Description: partial 16S ribosomal RNA
Rfam family: Bacterial small subunit ribosomal RNA
Source: RNAcentral